UAUAUGCUAGCAAACCGGUAAUUCACACAUCAAAUCAAACAUACCAAAUAUUAUCCAAACAACUAGACAUUAACUAGUCAGAGCGCAUAAUAAAAUGCACUAUGUUUCACAAGUACGAAACUGAACAAUUGUCAGAUUGCAAGCUCUUAUCAAAUCUGAAUAUUACAUGAACUAAACAUCUCAAUUCUGAAUAUUCCAAAGUACUGAACAAUAAACUUCUCAAGAUUACAGAAAUUUGAGAUCGGAGAGAGAGAGAGAAGCAGCAGCAGCAGCAAGUUGGAGGAGAGCAGCAGCAAUUUUCUGGUUUAGAGAAAAUUAGGAGGAGGAGCGGAGCAAGAGAAGGAGGAGGCAGCAGCAGGAAGUUGGAGAAGGGAGAAGCAGCGGUAGGAAGAGAAGAAGCAGAGGUAGCAGCAGUUUAGUGGAGGAAGCAGAGCAGCAGCAGAUCGGCGCAAGAAGAAGAGCAGCAGCAGGGGGGACGUGAGAGGAAGGAGUAGCAGCAAGGAGAGGGAGAAGAAGAAGCAGAGGCGUGGGGAGGUUAGAGAGAAAGCAGCAGCAGAAUUUGGGGGGAGAAGAAAGGUGGAGGAGCAGCAGCAGUUCGGGCGUGGGGAGGAGAAGAGCAUCGGGGGCGCGAGAUGGUGGAUGAUGCAGCGGCGGUUGGUGGAGAUGGCACGGUCGAGCUAGUGGAUGGAUGGGAGGUGGAGGCGCACCAUGACACCGGCCUGGCCGUGGCGGCGGCCGGAGUUGGAGAAGGAGGGGUGAGAGAGAGAGAGAGAGAUGUGCCAGGCCCGAAGGGAAUUGAGUAUGCGCUAGGGAUUUUGAUCCCCUCCCCUGUUCUGCCACUUUACGAUUUGGCCCUGCUAUUUCUCUUCUUUCUUCCCAAGUAGGUCCUGCCAUCUAUAGCUUGGCCCCUUGAUUACUUCAAUUCUUCUCGCUCAAGUCCCUUUCUUCACUUCUUUCCUGC
This 961-nucleotide ribosomal RNA is filed under the name Triticum aestivum (bread wheat). RNAcentral's name for it is "partial small subunit ribosomal RNA". The record is from RNAcentral. Lineage: Eukaryota; Viridiplantae; Streptophyta; Magnoliopsida; Poales; Poaceae.